CUCAUGAGCUGAUGGGACCUCUCGUAUCACUGUAGAGAUCUGCUAUACUGACACUUCAGUUUUGGACGGUUUCUGAGGCCCGUUGCCUGUGGAGCCAGACACCAGUGUGGGGCAGAGCGGGCCCACCCCCAAAAGGAUGAAUGAGUCUGGACCAAGCCAUGCAGACCAUGCUGUCCCUUUUGCUCCUUGCAGUGUGAAUUAUUUGGCCUUUUCCCAGUGUCCAGCUCACGUGGCCAGAUCACCAGCUGCCCCAGAGCUCACCACAAUUCGAUGUGACAGCACGUGGCCUCCAACCCCAGAGCCACGCUUGCCUCCCUGCGAGCUGAACUGACUUCACCUGGGUUUGAGGUCUGAGAUCAUACUUUCAGGUAUGUGCUAUUUGCCGGAGGAAUAAAACACCAAUAAAAGUAUAAAAGCUGCCA
RNAcentral lists this long non-coding RNA (422 nucleotides) under Chrysolophus pictus (golden pheasant). RNAcentral describes it as "lncRNA (ENSCPIG00010008263.1)". Lineage: Eukaryota; Metazoa; Chordata; Aves; Galliformes; Phasianidae. The record is from RNAcentral.